CUAUACAUGACUCUGCGCAUAUCAAUAAGCGGAGGAAAAGAAACUAACAAGGAUUCCCUUAGUAACGGCGAGUGAAGCGGGAAGAGCUCAAAUUUGAAAUCUUCAAGGGUUUCCCUUUACGAAUUGUAGUUUAAAAAAGUGUUUUCUGUUGAGGUUUUGGUAAAAGUUCUUUGGAAUAGGACAUCAUAGAGGGUGAGAAUCCCGUAUUUGACCUUUACUUUCAACUUUGUGAUACACUUUCAAAGAGUCGGAUUGUUUGGGAAUGCAGUCCAAAAUGGGUGGUAAAUUUCAUCUAAAGCUAAAUAUUGGCGAGAGACCGAUAGCGAACAAGUACCGUGAGGGAAAGAUGAAAAGAACUUUGAAAAGAGAGUUAAACAGUACGUGAAAUUGUCAAAAGGGAAGCGUUUGACACCAGUGUUGUUUUUCUGAAAAUCAAUUAAAGAACUGUUUAUGCUAAGUUGUUUAGACUUUAUCAGCUAACUGUUUAGUUUUGAGCUUUUCUUUAAUGCACUUUUCAGUUAACAAGUCAACAUCAAUUUCUUUUGCUGUAAAAAAGCUUGAGGAAGGUGGCUUGAGAUUCGUCUUAAGUGUUUAUAGCCUCUUGCCUAUGCAGUUGGAGAGAUUGAGGUCUGCAGCGUAGAUCCUUCGGGGCUAAAUGCAUUUGUGCUAAGUUAUAGCAUUUUAUAGACAACUUGUUGACUAUGAUUUGUCUUGUAGCUUACUCGCUUAUGUUAUUUUACCUACGCUUAGGAUGUUGACAGCAGUAUAGACGU
RNAcentral lists this ribosomal RNA (773 nucleotides) under uncultured Neocallimastigales. RNAcentral's name for it is "partial large subunit ribosomal RNA". It matches the Rfam family "Eukaryotic large subunit ribosomal RNA", at positions 22 to 640 of the family's 3401-position model. The record is from RNAcentral. Lineage: Eukaryota; Fungi; Neocallimastigomycota; Neocallimastigomycetes; Neocallimastigales.